RNAcentral lists this ribosomal RNA (251 nucleotides) under uncultured alveolate. RNAcentral's name for it is "partial Eukaryotic large subunit ribosomal RNA". It matches the Rfam family "Eukaryotic large subunit ribosomal RNA", at positions 2419 to 2665 of the family's 3401-position model. The record is from RNAcentral.
AGCUUGACUCUAGUCCGACUUUGUGAAAUGACUUAAGAGGUGUAGAAUAAGUGGGAGGCGCAAGCCGAAAGUGAAAUACCACUACUUUUAAUGUUAUUUUACUUAUUUCGUUGGGUAGGAACGGGGCCUCCGUGCCCUUUGUUCUGGCAUUAAGGCCUGCCUUCGGGCGGGUCGACCUAGGCGAAAGACAUUGUCAGGUGGGGAGUUUGGCUGGGGGGGCACAUCUGUUAAAGAAUAACGCAGGGGUCCUA